This 776-nucleotide ribosomal RNA is filed under the name uncultured Neocallimastigales. RNAcentral's name for it is "partial large subunit ribosomal RNA". It matches the Rfam family "Eukaryotic large subunit ribosomal RNA", at positions 26 to 644 of the family's 3401-position model. The record is from RNAcentral. Lineage: Eukaryota; Fungi; Neocallimastigomycota; Neocallimastigomycetes; Neocallimastigales.
CGCAUCUGUGCAUGCAGCAUAUCAAUAAGCGGAGGAAAAGAAACUAACAAGGAUUCCCUUAGUAACGGCGAGUGAAGCGGGAAGAGCUCAAAUUUGAAAUCUUAAAGGGUUUCCCUUUACGAAUUGUAGUUUAAAGAAGUGUUUUCUGUUGAGGUUUUGGUAAAAGUUCUUUGGAAUAGGACAUCAUAGAGGGUGAGAAUCCCGUAUUUGACCUUUACUUUCAACUUUGUGAUACACUUUCAAAGAGUCGGAUUGUUUGGGAAUGCAGUCCAAAAUGGGUGGUAAAUUUCAUCUAAAGCUAAAUAUUGGCGAGAGACCGAUAGCGAACAAGUACCGUGAGGGAAAGAUGAAAAGAACUUUGAAAAGAGAGUUAAACAGUACGUGAAAUUGUCAAAAGGGAAGCGUUUGACACCAGUGUUGUUUUUCUGAAAAUCAAUUAAAGAACUGUUUAUGCUAAGUUGCUUAGACUUUAUCAGCUAACUGUUUAGUUUUGAGCUUUUCUUUAAUGCACUUUUCAGGUUAACAAGUCAACAUCAAUUUCUUUUGGUUGUAAAAGGGUAUGAGGAAGGUGGCUUUCUUUUCGGAGAAAGUGUUUAUAGCCUUGUGCCUCUGCAAUCGGAGAGAUUGAGGUCUGCAGCGUAGAUCCUUCGGGGUUAGAUACAUUUGUGCUAAGUUAUAGCUUUUCAUAGACAACUUGUUGACUAUGUUUAGUCUUGUAGCUUACUCGCUUAUGCUAUUUUACCUACGCUUAGGAUGUUGAAGAUAUGCGCGACACG